This is a small nucleolar RNA of Saimiri boliviensis boliviensis (Bolivian squirrel monkey), 101 nucleotides long. RefSeq annotates it as small nucleolar RNA U13. The record is from RefSeq and is a predicted model, not a curated record. NCBI's taxonomy places the organism in Eukaryota, Metazoa, Chordata, Mammalia, Primates, Cebidae.
AUCCUUUUGUAGUUCAUGAGCAUAAUGACUGGAUAUCACACAUGGGUAAGAUGUGCCACCCUUGAACCUUGUUAUGACCUUGGCACAUUACCCAUCUGACC